GAUUUUAUAGUUUACGUAUGAGAAUUUCAAAUUGCAAACUUGAAGGUACCUUGUAGGUUAAAAUCU
Molecule: transfer RNA, 66 nt
Filed under: Haematopinus asini
Lineage: Eukaryota; Metazoa; Arthropoda; Insecta; Psocodea; Haematopinidae
Description: tRNA-Cys
Source: RNAcentral